Molecule: ribosomal RNA, 253 nt
Filed under: uncultured bacterium
Lineage: Bacteria
Description: partial 16S ribosomal RNA
Rfam family: Bacterial small subunit ribosomal RNA
Source: RNAcentral
UACGAAGGGUGCAAGCGUUACUCGGAAUUACUGGGCGUAAAGCGUGCGCAGGCGGUUCGCCAAGUCAGGUGUGAAAUCCCCGGGCUUAACCUGGGAAUUGCGCUUGAAACUAGCGGGCUUGAGUGUGGCAGAGGGGGGUGGAAUUCCACGUGUAGCAGUGAAAUGCGUAGAGAUGUGGAGGAACACCGAUGGCGAAGGCAGCCCCCUGGGUCAACACUGACGCUCAUGCACGAAAGCGUGGGGAGCAAACAGG